GUUAGCGUGGCAGAAGAUGGUUAUGCAGAAGACCUAAGCCCUUCCCCUAGGGGUUCAAAUCCCCUCACUAACU
Molecule: transfer RNA, 73 nt
Filed under: Mantidactylus bellyi
Lineage: Eukaryota; Metazoa; Chordata; Amphibia; Anura; Mantellidae
Description: tRNA-Leu
Source: RNAcentral